Long non-coding RNA from Solanum pennellii, 286 nucleotides. RefSeq lists it as uncharacterized. Lineage: Eukaryota; Viridiplantae; Streptophyta; Magnoliopsida; Solanales; Solanaceae. The transcript has 2 exons. The record is from RefSeq and is a predicted model, not a curated record.
UCUCAAAGGUGUGUGUAAAGGCCAGUUGUUAGUGGCAGUUUGUAGAGAUGGAAACAACCAAAUGCUCCCUAUUGCUUGGGCAGUUGUUGAGGUUGAGAAUCAGUAUACCUGGACAUGAUUUCUUGAACUAGUGAAGAAUGAUCUUGAACUUGGAGAAGGGCAUCAACUAUCCAUCAUUAGUGAUAUGCAAAAGGGACUAGAAAUUGCUGUGGAUACUUUAUUGCCACUUGUUGAACAUAGAAAAUGUGCAAGACAUGUUCUUGCAAAUUGGUCAAAAAAUUGGAAA